RNAcentral lists this non-coding RNA (28 nucleotides) under Mus musculus (house mouse). Lineage: Eukaryota; Metazoa; Chordata; Mammalia; Rodentia; Muridae. The record is from RNAcentral.
UGAGAAAAGGUGCUUCAUAGGUGCUGGC